This 370-nucleotide ribosomal RNA is filed under the name uncultured bacterium. RNAcentral's name for it is "bacterial SSU rRNA". It matches the Rfam family "Bacterial small subunit ribosomal RNA", at positions 525 to 896 of the family's 1533-position model. The record is from RNAcentral.
ACGUAGGUGGCGAGCGUUAUCCGGAUUUAUUGGGUUUAAAGGGUGCGUAGGCGGCUUAAUAAGUCGGUGGUUAAAAGUAGCAGCUUAACUGUUUUACAUGCCAUCGAUACUGUUGAGCUUGAGAUAUUUGGAGGCAGCUAGAAUUUCCGGUGUAGCGGUGAAAUGCAUAGAUACCGGAAGGAAUACCAAUUGCGAAGGCAGGUUGCUACGAAUAAACUGACGCUGAUGCACGAAAGCGUGGGGAUCAAACAGGAUUAGAUACCCUGGUAGUCCACGCCGUAAACGAUGAUUACUAGUUGUUGGGGUUUAAGCCUCAGUGACCAAGGGAAACCGAUAAGUAAUCCACCUGGGGAGUACGCCGGCAACGGUG